UUGGAGGGCAAGUCUGGUGCCAGCAGCCGCGGUAAUUCCGGCUCCAAUAGCGUAUAUUAAAGUUGUUGCAGUUAAAAAGCUCGUAGUUGAAUUUCGGGAUCAGAUUGUUGGUCGUGCCUCGGUACGUACUGGCAUUAUUGGUUCCUACCUUCUGAAGAACCGCGAUGUCAUUAAUUUGGUGUUGUGGGGAAUCAGGACUGUUACUUUGAAAAAAUUAGAGUGUUUAAAGCAAGCUAACGCUUGAAUACAUUAGCAUGGAAUAAUGAAAUAGGACGUUCGAUCCUAUUUUGCUGGUUUCUAGGAUUGACGUAAUGAUUAAUAGGGAUAGUUGGGGGCAUUAGUAUUCAAUUGUCAGAGGUGAAAUUCUUGGAUUUAUUGAAGACUAACUACUGCGAAAGCAUUUGCCAAGGAUGUUUUCAUUAAUCAAGAACGAAAGUUAGGGGAUCGAAGACGAUCAGAUACCGUCGUAGUCUUAACCAUAAACUAUGCCGACUAGGGAUCGGAUGAUGUUAAUUGUUUAAUGACUCAUUCGGCGCCUUACGGGAAACCAAAGUGUUUGGGUUC
This 564-nucleotide ribosomal RNA is filed under the name uncultured Glomeromycotina. RNAcentral describes it as "SSU rRNA". It matches the Rfam family "Eukaryotic small subunit ribosomal RNA", at positions 548 to 1114 of the family's 1831-position model. The record is from RNAcentral. Lineage: Eukaryota; Fungi; Glomeromycota.